CUUCAGCCUGGGCCUCAGCCUUCACCACAUCCUGCACUUGACAAUCAACUCGAUAUUUGUCACUCAUUGGUGAGAUGAAGGUGUGCAAAUGACAUUUCGGUAGGAAUAUCACAGACUAGCCAAGUCUCCACUGUGCCUGGGUCCAUGGGAACCUAUUCUUCUACUGGACAUAUCCCCUGAGGUGUCGCCUAAGCUGUAGCUGCCCUGGCAGUUUAAAAAUGGCAGUGCCCACUCCACCAGCUCCCUGUCUUGGCUUCCUGUCUCUCUGGUCCAUUCCAUUUGUUCCAGGUGAAAAGAGCUGGGGUUCCUGAAGCCAAGUUCAUCGCACGGUUCCCACCUAGCAAUCUCCACUCUCCUGAUGCUUCUUACCCUUUCUUUUUUGUUAUUCUUGUUUUCCUUCCUUUCUUGUGUGCAGACCACUAGAUGGAGAUAUAUAAAUGAGCCCUGGACACUUAACCAUGCCAGGCCCCGUUUCUAAGUGCUUUUCCUGCAUGAUUUUAUUGAAUCUUCACAACAACCCUUUGUGGAGGUCCCACGAUUUUCCCUCAUUGAGGUUAAGGGGCGAGGUCAAACCCACAUCAUUCUGAAUUCAGACUUCAUUCACUUGCCAAGAUCACACACUGAGUUGGGAGAAGUUAGAAGGUGUGUGAGUUCCAAGGGCAUCUUUUUCAUUCCUUUGUCCUGGGGCAGAACUGAAGCCAGAUUACCUCCAGAGGGUUACCACUAAACAUCUUAAAUUAGUCCUAGAGAAAAGAGGAAGAAGAAA
This 766-nucleotide long non-coding RNA is filed under the name Marmota monax (woodchuck). The record is from RNAcentral. Lineage: Eukaryota; Metazoa; Chordata; Mammalia; Rodentia; Sciuridae.